UCCCUGGUGGCUCAGAGGUUAAAGCGUCUGCCUGCAAUGCAGGAGACCCAGGUUCGAUCCCUGGGUCGGGAA
RNAcentral lists this transfer RNA (72 nucleotides) under Muntiacus reevesi (Reeves' muntjac). It matches the Rfam family "tRNA". From Rfam's summary of the family: Transfer RNA (tRNA) molecules are approximately 80 nucleotides in length. Their secondary structure includes four short double-helical elements and three loops (D, anti-codon, and T loops). RNAcentral also lists the same sequence under 3 other names. The record is from Rfam by way of RNAcentral. Lineage: Eukaryota; Metazoa; Chordata; Mammalia; Artiodactyla; Cervidae.